GUGAAAUUGUUGAAAGGGAAACGCUUGAAGUCAGUCGCGUUGAUUAGGACUCAGCCUUGCUAUUGCAUGGUGUACUUCCUCUUAAACGGGUCAACAUCAAUUUUGGCUGGUGGAUAAAGGUUGAGGGAAUGUGGCAUCCUUGGAUGUGUUAUAGCCUUCUUCCGUAUACACUGGCUGGGAUUGAGGUCUGCAGCACGCCUUUAUGGCCGGGGUUCGCCCACGUAUCGUGCUUAGGAUGUUGGCAUAAUGGCUUUAAGCGACCCGUCUUGAAACACGGACCAAGGAGUCUAACAUGCUUGCGAGUAUUAGAGUGGAAAACUCUUAUGCGUAAUGAAAGUGAAAGUUGGGACUCUUCGCAGAGGCACCGACGCCCGGCUCUGAAGUUUACUGACGAUGCUGCGGUAGAGCACGUAUGUUGGGACCCGAAAGAUGGUGAACUAUGCCUGAAUAGGGUGAAGCCAGGGGAAACUCUGGUGGAGGCUCGUAGCGAUUCUGACGUGCAAAUCGAUCGUCAAAUUUGGGUAUAGGGGCGAAAGACUAAUCGAACCAU
Molecule: ribosomal RNA, 550 nt
Filed under: uncultured Basidiomycota
Lineage: Eukaryota; Fungi; Basidiomycota
Description: LSU rRNA
Rfam family: Eukaryotic large subunit ribosomal RNA
Source: RNAcentral